AGUGAAAUGACUGAUAAAAGUGAUAAAUUGUAAAUUUAUUAAUAAAUAGAAAUAUUUUUUUACUA
This 65-nucleotide transfer RNA is filed under the name Cheumatopsyche brevilineata. RNAcentral describes it as "tRNA-Tyr". Lineage: Eukaryota; Metazoa; Arthropoda; Insecta; Trichoptera; Hydropsychidae. The record is from RNAcentral.